RNAcentral lists this ribosomal RNA (467 nucleotides) under uncultured bacterium. RNAcentral describes it as "partial 16S ribosomal RNA". It matches the Rfam family "Bacterial small subunit ribosomal RNA", at positions 28 to 507 of the family's 1533-position model. The record is from RNAcentral.
GACGAACGCUGGCGGCGUGCUUAACACAUGCAAGUCGAACGAUGACGACCGAGCUUGCUAGGUCUGAUUAGUGGCGAACGGGUGAGUAACACGUGAGCAACCUGCCCUUCACUCUGGGAUAACCUCGGGAAAUAGGGGCUAAUACCGGAUAUGAGCUCCUGUCGCAUGGCGGGUGUUGGAAAGUUUUUCGGUGAAGGAUGGGCUCGCGGCCUAUCAGUUUGUUGGUGAGGUAGUGGCUCACCAAGGCGAUGACGGGUAGCCGGCCUGAGAGGGCGACCGGCCACACUGGGACUGAGACACGGCCCAGACUCCUACGGGAGGCAGCAGUGGGGAAUAUUGCACAAUGGGCGAAAGCCUGAUGCAGCGACGCCGCGUGAGGGAUGACGGCCUUCGGGUUGUAAACCUCUUUCAGCAGGGAAGAAGCGAAAGUGACGGUACCUGCAGAAGAAGCGCCGGCUAACUACGUG